RNAcentral lists this ribosomal RNA (626 nucleotides) under uncultured bacterium. Its description in RNAcentral is "bacterial SSU rRNA". It matches the Rfam family "Bacterial small subunit ribosomal RNA", at positions 94 to 718 of the family's 1533-position model. The record is from RNAcentral.
AGUGGCGCACGGGUGCGUAACGCGUAUGCAACCUACCUUAAUCAGGGGGAUAGCCCGAAGAAAUUCGGAUUAACACCGCAUAAAAUCACAGUAUAGCAUUAUACAAUGAUCAAAUAUUUAUAGGAUUAAGAUGGGCAUGCGUGACAUUAGUUAGUUGGCGGGGUAACGGCCCACCAAGACCACGAUGUCUAGGGGAUCUGAGAGGAUGACCCCCCACACUGGUACUGAGACACGGACCAGACUCCUACGGGAGGCAGCAGUAAGGAAUAUUGGUCAAUGGAGGCAACUCUGAACCAGCCAUGCCGCGUGCAGGAAGACAGCCCUCUGGGUCGUAAACUGCUUUUAUUCGGGAAUAAACCUAUCUACGUGUAGAUAGCUGAAUGUACCGAAGGAAUAAGGAUCGGCUAACUCCGUGCCAGCAGCCGCGGUAAUACGGAGGAUCCAAGCGUUAUCCGGAUUUAUUGGGUUUAAAGGGUGCGUAGGCGGCUUAUUAAGUCAGGGGUGAAAGACGGUGGCUCAACCAUCGCAGUGCCUUUGAUACUGAUGAGCUUGAAUAUACUAGAGGUAGGCGGAAUGUGACAAGUAGCGGUGAAAUGCAUAGAUAUGUCACAGAACACCGAUUGCGA